UGGACCAAUGAUGAUGACUGGUGCAUAUGAGUCAUAUACAGUGAAUAUUACGUGUUGGGAGCUCUGAGGUCCAA
Molecule: small nucleolar RNA, 74 nt
Organism: Balaenoptera musculus (blue whale)
Lineage: Eukaryota; Metazoa; Chordata; Mammalia; Artiodactyla; Balaenopteridae
Source: Ensembl